Molecule: ribosomal RNA, 238 nt
Filed under: uncultured Spirochaeta sp.
Lineage: Bacteria; Pseudomonadati; Spirochaetota; Spirochaetia; Spirochaetales; Spirochaetaceae
Description: partial 16S ribosomal RNA
Rfam family: Bacterial small subunit ribosomal RNA
Source: RNAcentral
GGACGCGCCGGUGACAAACCGGAGGAAGGUGGGGACGACGUCAAGUCAUCAUGGCCCUUAUGUCCUGGGCUACACACGUGCUACAAUGGCCGGUACAGAGCGCAGCGAGGCCGCGAGGCGGAGCGAAUCGCUUAAAGCCGGUCCCAGUACGGAUUGGAGUCUGCAACCCGACUCCAUGAAGUUGGAAUCGCUAGUAAUCGCGCAUCAGCAUGGCGCGGUGAAUACGUUCCCGGGCCUU